AAUGGGUCAGCGACUUAUAUUCUGUAGCAAGGUUAACCGAAUAGGGGAGCCGAAGGGAAACCGAGUCUUAACUGGGCGUUAAGUUGCAGGGUAUAGACCCGAAACCCGGUGAUCUAGCCAUGGGCAGGUUGAAGGUUGGGUAACACUAACUGGAGGACCGAACCGACUAAUGUUGAAAAAUUAGCGGAUGACUUGUGGCUGGGGGUGAAAGGCCAAUCAAACCGGGAGAUAGCUGGUUCUCCCCGAAAGCUAUUUAGGUAGCGCCUCGUGAAUUCAUCUCCGGGGGUAGAGCACUGUUUCGGCAAGGGGGUCAUCCCGACUUACCAACCCGAUGCAAACUGCGAAUACCGGAGAAUGUUAUCACGGGAGACACACGGCGGGUGCUAACGUCCGUCGUGAAGAGGGAAACAACCCAGACCGCCAGCUAAGGUCCCAAAGUCAUGGUUAAGUGGGAAACGAUGUGGGAAGGCCCAGACAGCCAGGAUGUUGGCUUAGAAGCAGCCAUCAUUUAAAGAAAGCGUAAUAGCUCACUGGUCGAGUCGGCCUGCGCGGAAGAUGUAACGGGGCUAAACCAUGCACCGAAGCUGCGGCAGCGACGCUUAUGCGUUGUUGGGUAGGGGAGCGUUCUGUAAGCCUGUGAAGGUGUGCUGUGAGGCAUGCUGGAGGUAUCAGAAGUGCGAAUGCUGACAUAAGUAACGAUAAAGCGGGUGAAAAGCCCGCUCGCCGGAAGACCAAGGGUUCCUGUCCAACGUUAAUCGGGGCAGGGUGAGUCGACCCCUAAGGCGAGGCCGAAAGGCGUAGUCGAUGGGAAACAGGUUAAUAUUCCUGUACUUGGUGUUACUGCGAAGGGGGGACGGAGAAGGCUAUGUUGGCCGGGCGACGGUUGUCCCGGUUUAAGCGUGUAGGCUGGUUUUCCAGGCAAAUCCGGAAAAUCAAGGCUGAGGCGUGAUGACGAGGCACUACGG
RNAcentral lists this ribosomal RNA (965 nucleotides) under Escherichia coli. Its description in RNAcentral is "partial 23S ribosomal RNA". It matches the Rfam family "Bacterial large subunit ribosomal RNA", at positions 614 to 1582 of the family's 2925-position model. Lineage: Bacteria; Pseudomonadati; Pseudomonadota; Gammaproteobacteria; Enterobacterales; Enterobacteriaceae. The record is from RNAcentral.